AUUGCCUUUGCUGGUGUUUUGUGAGUGAGCCCAGGAUAGGGUUAAAUGCAGAGCUAUGUGGGUAUGGAAGCAGAAAACACCUUGCUGCUCUCCCCUCCUGGUGUGGAAAACAACAGGAGUGAUCACGGCAACACAGCAGAGCAGGAGUAAACAAGAUCUUACAUGAAGCACUAACAAUGGGCAAAAAUGAAUCUGAUGGCUGAAGUGGUGCUGGUUGAGUAGGGAUGGGUGGGUGCUGGCAGCAGCAGGAGCCCCCAGCUGGUGUGACAGCCCCUAUCCCCAUGUGAUUAGAGCACCUGCCUGCUGAUCUCUCAGACUACGUUUCUCAUGAGACAUCAUACAGCACUCCAGCCAAGGAUGGAGUCCACGCUUAAUCCUUGCAGUAUGGCAGGACAGUGCAGCACCAUGUCAUAAUGGAUAGGUCUAGUUUAAAACUGCAAUUUUAAGUACUUUUUUAAUUUGUUUUGGGAAAAGGAUCGUGUGUGUAUAUGAAUGCCAGGUCUACUGGCUAUUGAAAACUGUACUCUUUACUCAGGAUGCAUAGAUUUGAUUAUGCAAUCUUGCUGGAACAGUUUUCUAAUCAAUGUCAGUAUUAUUCACUUAAUGAGUGUUAAAAAAGAAAGGAAGAAAGAAAACUGGUGUUUCUAAACAGCUCUAUCAGCUACUAAGAGGAACAACCACCUUUUUAUUUAAAAGAAUGGUUGUUUGGGGAUAUAAUGAUUAUUUGUAGAGCACUGGGAUAUAGGAGGGAGGAUUUUUUUAAACUGAGUGCAUAAAAUCAUGCUGUGUUCCUUGAUAUCACCUCACAGACUGGUUUAUUUCCAGUGUCACCUUCACUGUUUUGUAAUCUGUAUGCAUAGUGAAUAAACUCUACACCUAAGGACUUGGACUUGAUGAUCCUUAGGGGACCUUUCCAACUCAGGAUAUUCUGUCAUCUUGAUUCUACUUUCUUUGAAGUGCAUCCAUGACAUUUACCUGCAAGGCAAAGCUUGCUCUUCUCCACAGUAAACUGAUGGAGGGACACCUUAAAAUCCCUGGAGUCCAGGCACCUUCAAAAUGUGGGGAGUAUAUGGUCACUGCCUGCUUUCACUUAUUAGUGACCAGACUUGAGCUUCACCAGCUUAUGGCUCAGGUUUUGUCAAGUCUUACUGAGCUAAUUUCCACUGGGACUAAUCAAAGCAUAGCCUGAGCAUUUGAUGGUUUGGACCUCUGUCAGAAAUACAUGACUAUUUUGAUAUUGCCAAAAAAUAUGUUGCUAAAGAGAAUUGUUUCCUUUAUUUAUAUUCAUUUAUGCUUGGGCUAUAGCACAGGCAAGAGCAAAAUCCAUUUGGAAGAAGAAAAAACAAAGUCAAGGUGAAAACAAAAUCUUUCCAACGUCAUUCCUGUAGUGGUAAGUCAUCCUGCUGAGAGCAACAGUUUAGAUCCUGCCACAAUAAAUCUCAUAACCUCCAUCCUGAAAACAAGCUAGAAUGGAUUUCUAGAGUGAGAAAUACAUAGACAUAAUUUGGGGAAAACAUUAUGGAAAUAAGUAUUCAGAAAGAGGCAAGCAGUAUGAAGUGUUACCCUUCAUUAGCUCUUAUGUUGAUAUAAGCACUUGUUUCAGAGUCCCUCUCCCUCUUGAGGACUACAGGUAAUGGACGAGUGGUUUUGUCUUCAUUCAAACUAUCAUUACUGUAGUAUCAAUUGAAACAUUAAGAAAAUAAGGGACAAAAAAUUUAAUUCCUCUGUAACAACAGUUUUGACCCUUGAUCAAGGUUCUUUAAGAGUAUAACCAGGCCUCGCAAUGUAAUUAUGUUUUGAAACUUGUGUACCUAAACACCUUUACACCAGUCUCAGAAAAAUGGAGACACUGAAAACAUAACAUUCAGUUUGUUAAGGACAAGAACUCUUUCCUCUUAAAUAAAGUUAUUUUAUUCUUCUUGCCUCUGAUGUCUCUAUUUUCUAUAUUCCAUUCUUUCUGUGCUCUUUGGUCUUGAGUCCACCCAGUCCUCUUCGUUUUCAUUGCAAUUUUUCCUUUCUCUUUAUGUAGCAUUUUCUCUAUGAGAUGUUUUGCAUACAUUUUUCUUCUUCUCAAGUCACCAGAACCUAUUGAGGGUCAACAAAAAGGAUUCCUUCUGAUUUUUACUGCUUUGUGAAGUACGUUCAACAUCAUUGAGCAAAGAAGCAUCAUGUGAGACUCAGGACAGAGCUGUAAUGCUGCAUUCAAGGGCACAGCCUGUAUGAAGCACAUUAUAGAGAGUUUUAUUGUAGCACAUUGAUUACGUGUACUUAAAUGUCUACACUCCACCUUCUAAGUUUAAAUUCACAGGACUGUAAAAUGGUUUAAUUUUAUAAAAAUCCAUAUUCUUUUUGAUUAUCAUACUAAAUUUUUCUGCAUGGACUAGCACAAUCUUCUGAUGCAGAGUGCAUCUGACUAUUAAAAUGCAACUUACAAAUGAACACGAGUGUGAAAUACCUUUAUUUGCCACGAAGCAGAAGUGAGGUCAUGCCUUGCAAGUAUAUUCAUACUUCCUUCUCAUAUUUCCUUGAGGUCUCAAUGGAUUCCUGUUUAAGGGCGACCCAUAUACCUGACCACUGUGGGAAAGAGUCCUUCUGCACACAAGUAACUACUUGAGGAAGGAAAUGUAGGAACAGGUGCAAGAAGUAGUGAAUAUCAGCUGAAUCCAUACUGACUUUUACCAGAUGUAUUCACUGAACUGUGCACUCAUUAAUAAGUGAUACGAAAAUGAUACUGUGCUUUAAGUGACAGCCUUUGCUGCUGAUGUACCUGCCAAGGUGUUGGUGGCAGAGUGGCUUAACAGGGAAGCCGUUGUGAAAAGAGAACAGGGCUACCCCAUGCUGGAUACAGCAGAAAGUGUCAGUAUUUUAAAUAAUUGCAAAAAUAUGAAACUUAUUUUCCAGAAGUCAAAACUGUUUCACCACCAUGGUAACUGGUAAUUGAUUUCCCUGUCUUUUUUGCUUAUGUUUUUUUCCCUGCUUUCUCCCCCUACCGCAUUCCAUCCUGCUGAGUUAACAAGCAGCUGGGUAGGAACUUGACAUCUAACCAAAGCCAAUCCAUUGCAAAGAUUGACUCAGGAGAGGUGCUCCAGCCCUGUGAUCAUCUUCACAGUUCCUCCUCUGGACCCACUCAAACAACUCUGCAUGCUUCUCCAGAUCUGGACACACUAUAUCAGUUCCAGUACAAUGUCCAAGUAAGACCAAAAAUAUAUGGAGAGACUUCUGUGAAUAAGACUCUUGAUUCUGAGUCCAGUACUGUCAUCAGUAGCCUUAGACUUGGUAGGAGAAACCUGCGUUUCAAAGGACAGGACAGGACAUGUCAAGAGUGCAGCCAUGGUCCAAGCAGCACACCAUGAAUAGAAACAUUGCAAGGACUGGAGAGAAACUACCAUGUUCCAGAUAGAAGAUACAUGUGCCCUUGGCCACAUCAGGGACAUAAAAACAAGAUCUAAGAAAGGUAUCAGAGAUUAAAGCCCUGCUUGGGAAUUCUAUCUUUAAUAGUAAAUAUGCAUUCCCUCUCAAAACACAUUUGAGCAUAGCCAUGAAGUUUUGGUGGUGAACAUAGAGAUAGGGCAAUAUUCAUACAUUACACAUAAUUUUUCCUCAGGUGUUUCAAAAACACUCAAAGUGGUUUCCCAGUUCAGCCCUUGGAAGUCAUGUCUGACAGAGGAACUGGGUAACACACAGAGAGCUUCCUUUGUUUUCCUCUAGUUUGAAUAUUUGGUUUAAAAUGCAUCCUUCCAGUGCAGGGCAAGGAAUAUUGCCAGGUGGAUUUCAAAUGUGCCUGUUAAAAAUACAAAUUAAAGCGGGAUUAAAAAAAAAUCACCUUCCACCAAUAAUGAAGCCAUCAAGAAAAGUAACACUAACAAACAGAAAUAGGGUCCCAUUAUGUAAGUGAGUUGCAGACCAUCUUAAUAGAUGGAAAUUUGCCUGUCUCAGUCUACGUAAUUAAAAUGUACUGUAUAUAAUUAAAAUUAAUGUAAUUAAAACAGUCUCAGCACCAAGUUUAAUUAUGUCACUCAAAUGUUGCUUCUAGACACACCAAAAUCAGCGUGUCAGUAAUAAGAUAAAUCUCUAUAUUCCUUUAGAUUAAUAAACAGAUGGGUCUAAAAAAGGAAAAAGAGCUAAAAAAAAUAUCAACACUGAAAUAAUUAUUUUAUUCAACAAAUAGAAUGGAGAUUUUUCUCCUAAACUGUUAUUCUUAUGGGUAGCCUUACAGGGAUAUCUGUUUUAAUGCAUGUAUAGAAAUAACCAGUAGCUUAAAUAUCAGAGAAGCCAAACUCAACAGUUUAAUCUUCUGAUGUAAUUCUGUACCACUUAUAAAGAAGAUAGAACACAAUUCCAACAAUUAAUUGUGUGAGAAGGAAAGCUCACAAGGCUUUUCCAUUCACAGGUGAACCUCAGUACCAUCAGCUUUACACCACAGCUUAUCUCAGCACCCACCCAUGUCACUGAUGUACGUGUUUGGUCUGUAGGCUGGGCAAAAGUCCAUGUACCCUAUGGUUGUGGUUGAACAAGUGUUGAUGGAGAGAAAAAUGAACACCUGAGACCUGUCCAGUUCUGGUCAUAUUGGUCACCAGAUCAAAGGAUGCCAGCUGAUACUGCAGCUGCAUAAGCAUCUUGCAGUUGGGAAAAAAGGCUGAGAAAAGAGUUGAGGUGGCAAAGAGAAAGUUCAUGUUUGUAGAGAAGUUUUCCAAGAGGGAAAAAAGUUCUGCAAUCUGUUGUUUUACAACAUAAGCUGUGGGCUAAUAAGGUAUAUAAAGUUAUGUUGACAACUGCAGAUGUUUCAUGCUUACCAUUUCAAUUAAAUAUUCCUGAAGUGGUUAUUA
Molecule: long non-coding RNA, 4826 nt
Organism: Centrocercus urophasianus (Greater sage-grouse)
Lineage: Eukaryota; Metazoa; Chordata; Aves; Galliformes; Phasianidae
Exons: 7
Source: RefSeq, a predicted model, not a curated record